GGGACUGGCUGCGAAUACACACGAAUCCACGAAUCCAUGAAAAAAACGAAAAACACAAAAUGAAAAGUAAGUCAUAUUUGUAUUACUUCAUUAUUGUCCCAUUGUUACUAUUGUCACUUACCCUCAUAAUUGAGUCACCCUCAUGAUGUUACAUACUUCAUAAGCGGGUUCAAGGUGGGAGCACCUGUGACUACACACAAAUAAACGAAUGCAUGAAUCCAUGA
RNAcentral lists this non-coding RNA (224 nucleotides) under Thalassiosira rotula. The record is from RNAcentral. Lineage: Eukaryota; Bacillariophyta; Thalassiosirophyceae; Thalassiosirales; Thalassiosiraceae.